AUACGUAGGUGACAAGCGUUAUCCGGAUUUACUGGGCGUAAAGGGCGUGUAGGCGGUCUUGCAAGUCAGAAGUGAAAUUCCUGAGCUCAACUCGGGCGCUGCUUCUGAAACUGCAGGACUUGAGUGCUGGAGGGGAUAGCGGAAUUCCUAGUGGAGCGGUAAAAUGCGCAGAUAUUAGGAAGAACACCGGUGGCGAAGGCGGCUAUCUGGACAGUAACUGACGCUGAGGCGCGAAAGCGUGGGGAGCAAGCAGGAUUAGACACCCUGUUAGUCCACGCCGUAAACGAUGAAUACUAGGUGUAGGGGGUAUCGACUCCCUCUGUGCCGCAGUUAACACAAUAAGUAUUCCGCCUGGGGAGUACGGCCGCAAGGUUGAAACUUAAAGGAAUUGACGGGG
This 397-nucleotide ribosomal RNA is filed under the name uncultured bacterium. Its description in RNAcentral is "partial 16S ribosomal RNA". It matches the Rfam family "Bacterial small subunit ribosomal RNA", at positions 523 to 918 of the family's 1533-position model. The record is from RNAcentral.